GUGCUCGCUUCGGCAGCACAUAUACUAAAACUGGAAGGGAAGAUUAGCAUAGCCCCUGUGCAAAGAUGACACGCACAUUCGAGAAAGCAUUCCAUAUUUUU
This 101-nucleotide small nuclear RNA is filed under the name Mus caroli (Ryukyu mouse). The record is from RNAcentral. Lineage: Eukaryota; Metazoa; Chordata; Mammalia; Rodentia; Muridae.